AAAUUUUACAAUGCACGAAAGUGUGAUAAAGGAACUCCAAGUGCGUAUACACUGUAUACGCUUUUGUUAAGUGUAAACAGCUUGACGAAUAAGGUCUGGGUAAGAUCGGUGCCAGCAACCGCGGUAAUACCGGCAGAUCAAGUGGUGGCCAGUUUUAUUGGGCCUAAAGCAUUCGUAGCCGGUUCAGUCAGUCUUUGGUGAAAUUGCCGUACUUAAUAUGGCAGCGUGCUGAAGAUACUACUGGACUUGAGAUCGGGAAGAGGCAAGGGUAUUCCUUGGGUAGGGGUAAAAUCCUAUAAUCCUUGGAGGACCACCUGUGGCGAAGGCGCUUGUCUUGAACGAGUCUGACGGUGAGGGAUGAAAGUUGGGGGAGCAAACCGG
This 381-nucleotide ribosomal RNA is filed under the name uncultured archaeon. RNAcentral's name for it is "bacterial SSU rRNA". It matches the Rfam family "Archaeal small subunit ribosomal RNA", at positions 345 to 727 of the family's 1478-position model. The record is from RNAcentral.